AACGAACGCUGGCGGCAGGCUUAACACAUGCAGGUCGAACGAGUCCUUCGGGACGAGUGGCGCACGGGUGAGUAAUACAUGGGAACGUGCCCUUCAGUCUGGAAUAACGUCGGGAAACUGACGCUAAUACCGGAUAUUCCCUCCGGGGGGAAAGAUUUAUCGCUGAAGGAUCGGCCCAUGCCAGAUUAGCUUGUUGGUGGGGUAAUGGCCCACCAAGGCUCCGAUCUGUAGCUGGUCUGAGAGGACGAUCAGCCACACUGGUACUGAGACGCGGACCAG
This 279-nucleotide ribosomal RNA is filed under the name uncultured bacterium. RNAcentral describes it as "partial 16S ribosomal RNA". It matches the Rfam family "Bacterial small subunit ribosomal RNA", at positions 29 to 334 of the family's 1533-position model. The record is from RNAcentral.